AUGUACUAUGGUUUAUUAUUGUUAUUGUUUAUUAUUAUUAUUAUUAUUAUUAUUAUUAUUAUUAUUAUUAUUAUUAUUAUUAUUAUUAUUAUUAUAUUAACUGGGGCUACUGGAGCUAGUUGUCAUGCAAAAUCUAUCUUGUUAAACUUUGACCAGCAGAAACUUGUGCAAGUUUCAACAAGUUUUCAACAAUUAGCAACAAGUUUUCCUUUCAUGCUCAUACUUCAGUGCCCACAGAAUACAAUGUUAAUUUUACAGACAUAUCUCCCCAGGUUCAGCAGCUGAACUUAGUAUGUAAACUCAUGCUGUGUAACCCUCCUCCCAGAGAACAUCUUUGCCAUUACUACAUCCUAUAUGCUUAGGAUGAAAACAACUUCCUGGCAAAACACUAAAAAGUAAUAAGAAGGUAAAAGCCUGUAGGUAUUUAAAGAUGAGAAAUAUUAUAUAAGGCCACAGUACCAUAGAUUGGUAAAGGAAACAGAAUCACUAAGGGUCAUUAACAACAACACUUUGAAAGUUAAAUGUCUGCAGUGACAUAUCCUAAAUCAAACCUAAUAUGUGUCCUGACUGUUUAUCAAUGUCCUUUGACUUCACCUACAUUGUAUGUUAGUUCCAUUCAGAAAUGAUGCUACACAUUCAGUGAUGAUGCUACACAGAAAUGAUUCAGAAAUCAAAUUCAGAAAUGAUGCUACACAUUCAACCUCUGCUGGAAAAGCUGGUCCAAGAAUAUAAAAUUUAAUGUAACUAAGUUUGCUUAGGUAGAAUUGAUAAGCAGGAGAUGCAAUAAAAACUGUAUCUAAUGUGAUCAGUGAAUCCUCUGGCAUCAACACAGACAAUUUAACUUCUUAGAUGGUACUAGUUCCAGACUUCGGGAAAUUUGUCUCAUCAAAAUAAGUCCAUAUGUAAACAAGUCACAUUUUAACAAGUUAAACAUCACUGCAACCAAAGGCUGGGGUACUAUUAAAAAUAUCUAAACAAUGGAAAAAUGGGGUCAGAUGAGGAAAGUCCAAUUGCCAUCUGCCAGCAGAGUACCUGACUUGCUAUUGAGAGGUUUUAAGAGAACUAAUUCUAUUCUUUCCUUUUGUUGUUUCUUUUUUUCCCCCACUCGGAUUAUCAGUUUUCAAGUGUAUUGACUGUGCCCUUGUACUUGUCCUCUGUGGAAGGUAGGAAGAAGACUACCCAAAAGACCAUUAAUUA
RNAcentral lists this long non-coding RNA (1197 nucleotides) under Cairina moschata (Muscovy duck). RNAcentral's name for it is "domestica (muscovy Duck (domestic type)) lncRNA (ENSCMMG00000017223.1)". The record is from RNAcentral. Lineage: Eukaryota; Metazoa; Chordata; Aves; Anseriformes; Anatidae.